GAGUGCGAGAGAUAGCAAAUUUUGAAAAAUUUCUACUGGGACUUUUUUUUGCCUGCAGAAAUUUGCAACUUUGAACAGAUGUUUUGUAAAGGUCAGCUGUUCUAUGAAAUGCAGCCGUUGCAUGAAAAUACAAAAGCUAACGGCAAAAUGGAUCAAUAAGACAGCUCUAUGGCCGCAGCUAGUGUUUAGGUACAGAAAACUCGACAAAAGAAGUUGUAAUUUUACUUCAAGUCGGUUGUUCUACAUUAGAAGACACCAAGAAAAGAGCAAUUAUCGGUUACUUAAUAGUUUUGAUGGAAUCAUCCUCAUCGGAGAGCUUCGAUGAAACCAACACCUUUCCUUUGAAUUUGUUAAGGAGGGAAGAUGCUGCCAUGGGAUUGAGUGGGUCUUGCUGUGCAGUUAAACAAGUGACGCACAGUGGGAUUUGAAAUAUUUGUGCAAACUAGUCUGCCAAUUGUGACGGAUACAGAUAUCUUCGACGAUAACAAAGUGUCCGUAGCCGCCACAUGACCAAAUUGAAGGUCCCUUAGCUUCACAUCAGUGGUCGUAGCAAUUUAUCUAGCCACAACAUCCAAAAGCAUUAGAUGGCUAGUCCAAGAUAUCUUUGUCAGCACAACAAGUGUACUUUUGUAUACGGUGAUGACAUGUAAAGCAGUUGUAAGAAAUUGUCCAACAAGAGGAACGGGAGAAGUAGUCCGUCAUGCGUCUUGGCUACUGAUGAGAGAAGGGAGAUCGGUCUGUACGACUCCCCCUUGCUCGUGUACUUUUCAGGUCUCAGAGUGGGAUCUGACAGUCCUAUGCAGGCUUCGAAAUGCAUGCUGAUGCUCGGAGAAUGGAAAUUGUCCAACGAGAGGAGCGGGAGGAGUAGUCCCUCAUGCGUCUUGGCUACUGAUGAGAGAAGGGAAAUCGGUCCGUACGACUCCUCCUUGCUCGUGUCCUUUUCAAGACUCAGUAGCGGGAUCUGACUGCCCAUCUUCCAAAUAUCGGGUACUAUAAUAGUCUUCAGGUAGGCUGAGGACAGUUGUAAGGUAAUCGACUGCGGGCAGAUUCAGAUUCUUCAGCAUCAGUGUAGGUUCUGUCUGGAACCAGCGCUUUGCGCGACUUGGCGCCACGGAUGAUGCACGGUUGUUGUUUUUGUUGUAGCCGUGUGUUGUACACUGAAGACUCCAUCGGGCCAAUGCGGUACGUACAACCGGCUGCCAUGGGAUUGCACGGUAAUUUGUGAUGGCUCUCCAGCGGCACGGAGAUCACUGUUAUACAAAUGGCUCCCCUUCUACCCUUUACACUCUUGGAUCAAUAAAUUGACGUUUAUUAAGGAAAAUACCUCACAAGUAUUGCCAGCAUUUUUUAUUCUAAAACAAUUGUUUUCCUUAGCAAGCAAAUA
Molecule: long non-coding RNA, 1384 nt
Organism: Stomoxys calcitrans (stable fly)
Lineage: Eukaryota; Metazoa; Arthropoda; Insecta; Diptera; Muscidae
Exons: 3
Source: RefSeq, a predicted model, not a curated record